GGCGAGCCUGGGGGCGGGGAGAGAACGGUGGCUGAAGGGACCUCCCCGCCCCCAGGCCGCGCCU
This is a microRNA precursor of Monodelphis domestica (gray short-tailed opossum), 64 nucleotides long. Lineage: Eukaryota; Metazoa; Chordata; Mammalia; Didelphimorphia; Didelphidae. The record is from Ensembl.